CGUAGGUGGCAAGCGUUGUCCGGGUUUAUUGGGUUUAAAGGGUGCGUAGGCGGUGAUUUAAGUCAGUGGUGAAAUACUUCAGCUUAACUGGAGAGGUGCCAUUGAUACUGGGUCACUUGAGUACUGAUGAGGUAGGCGGAAUGGACGGUGUAGCGGUGAAAUGCUUAGAUAUCGUCCAGAACACCGAUAGCGAAGGCAGCUUACUAAGGAGUAACUGACGCUGAGGCACGAAAGUGUGGGGAUCAAACAGGAUUAGAUACCCCUGGUAGUCCACACUGUAAACGAUGAUCACUCGAUGUUGGCGAUACACAGCCAGCGUCUUAGCAAAAGCGAUAAGUGAUCCACCUGGGGAGUACGCCGGCAACGGUG
RNAcentral lists this ribosomal RNA (369 nucleotides) under uncultured organism. Its description in RNAcentral is "bacterial SSU rRNA". It matches the Rfam family "Bacterial small subunit ribosomal RNA", at positions 526 to 896 of the family's 1533-position model. The record is from RNAcentral.